GACGAACGCUGGCGGCGUGCUUAACACAUGCAAGUCGAACGGAAAGGCCCUGCUUUUGUGGGGUGCUCGAGUGGCGAACGGGUGAGUAACACGUGAGUAACCUGCCCUUGACUUUGGGAUAACUUCAGGAAACUGGGGCUAAUACCGGAUAGGAGCUCCUGCUGCACGGUGGGGGUUGGAAAGUUUCGGCGGUUGGGGAUGGACUCGCGGCUUAUCAGCUUGUUGGUGGGGUAGUGGCUUACCAAGGCUUUGACGGGUAGCCGGCCUGAGAGGGUGACCGGCCACAUUGGGACUGAGAUACGGCCCAGACUCCUACGGGAGGCAGCAGUGGGGAAUAUUGCACAAUGGGCGGAAGCCUGAUGCAGCAACGCAGCGUGCGGGAUGACGGCCUUCGGGUUGUAAACCGCUUUCGCCUGUGACGAAGCGUGAGUGACGGUAAUGGGUAAAGAAGCACCGGCUAACUACGUG
This 468-nucleotide ribosomal RNA is filed under the name uncultured bacterium. RNAcentral's name for it is "partial 16S ribosomal RNA". It matches the Rfam family "Bacterial small subunit ribosomal RNA", at positions 28 to 507 of the family's 1533-position model. The record is from RNAcentral.